GCAAGGAGUCAUCAUGUCAGGUAGUCCUGGGGCACGGUCCUAGGGCUCAGGUCCUCCGAGAGAGAGAAAGAAAGAAAGAGAGAAUUAGAGAGAGCAUAUGUGGGGUGGCCCGUCCUCUUCUGGCUGUGCCGGGUGGAGAUUAUAACAGAACAGCAGCAUGACCAGGUGGACUGGGGACAGCAAGGAGUCAUCAUGUCAGGUACUCCUGGGGCAUGGUCCUAGGGCUCAGGUCAGUUGAAACUGGAGCAGCAGCAUGGCCAGGUGGACUGGGGACAGCAAGGAGUCAUCAUGUCAGGUAGUCCUGGGGCAUGGUCCUAGGGCUCAGGUCAGUUGAAACUGGAGCAGCAGCAUGGCCAGGUGGACUGGGGACAGCAAGGAGUCAUCAUGUCAGGUAGUCCUGGGGCAUGGUCCUAGGGCUCAGGUCCUCCGAGAGAGAGAAAGAAAGAAGGAGAGAAUUAGAGAACGCACACUUAGAUUCACACAGGACACCGAAUUAGGACAGGAGAAGUACUCCAGAUA
This is a long non-coding RNA of Oncorhynchus keta (chum salmon), 519 nucleotides long. RefSeq lists it as uncharacterized. The record is from RefSeq and is a predicted model, not a curated record. The transcript is spliced from 2 exons. Lineage: Eukaryota; Metazoa; Chordata; Actinopteri; Salmoniformes; Salmonidae.